UGUGAGAAAAUGAGCUCAGUUGGCUGAAGU
RNAcentral lists this non-coding RNA (30 nucleotides) under Rattus norvegicus (Norway rat). The record is from RNAcentral. Lineage: Eukaryota; Metazoa; Chordata; Mammalia; Rodentia; Muridae.